AGUAGUUCUUCCAAGGAAAACUUGGAAGGCCAAAGUGGAGGAGGGUUCCAUGAGAACAGCAGUUGAACAUGGGUCAGUCGGUCCCGAGAGAUGGGCGAGGACCGUUCCGAGGGGACCUGCAAUGGCCUCCGUUGCCCUCAGCCGAUCAAAGGGAGUCGGGAUCAGAUCCCCAAAUCCCGAGUGGCGGAGACGGGCGAUGUGAGGCGUCCAGUGCGGUAAGGCGACCCACCCCAAAGAAGCCGGCGGAGGCCCCAGGGAGAGCUCCCUUUUUUGUGUGUAGGGCAGGGCGCCAAGGAAUGGGUUCGCCCCCAGAGAGGGGCCAGUGCCUUGGAAAGCGUGGUGGUUCCGGCGAGGUCUGGUGAGCGCCCGCUGGCCCUUGGACAAAAAAAUCCCAGGGAGAGUGUGUAAAUCUCGCGCCG
This 419-nucleotide non-coding RNA is filed under the name Myotis brandtii (Brandt's bat). RNAcentral's name for it is "Eukaryotic large subunit ribosomal RNA". It matches the Rfam family "Eukaryotic large subunit ribosomal RNA", at positions 1462 to 1838 of the family's 3401-position model. The record is from Rfam by way of RNAcentral. Lineage: Eukaryota; Metazoa; Chordata; Mammalia; Chiroptera; Vespertilionidae.